Molecule: ribosomal RNA, 429 nt
Filed under: Pseudomonadota bacterium
Lineage: Bacteria; Pseudomonadati; Pseudomonadota
Description: Proteobacteria bacterium partial 16S ribosomal RNA
Rfam family: Bacterial small subunit ribosomal RNA
Source: RNAcentral
UGGGGAAUAUUGGACAAUGGGCGAAAGCCUGAUCCAGCCAUGCCGCGUGUGUGAAGAAGGUCUUCGGAUUGUAAAGCACUUUAAGUGGGGAGGAAGGGCAGUAAGCGAAUACCUUGCUGUUUUGACGUUACCGACAGAAUAAGCACCGGCUAACUCUGUGCCAGCAGCCGCGUUAAUACAGAGGGGGCAAGCGUUAAUCGGAAUUACUGGGCGUAAAGCGCGCGUAGGUGGUUCGUUAAGUUGAAUGUGAAAGCCCCGGGCUCAACCUGGGAAAUGCAUCCAAAACUGGCGAGCUAGAGUAUGGCAGAGGGUGGUUGAAAUUCCUGGGUAGCGGUGAAAUGCGUAGAUAUAGGAAGGAACACCAGUGGCGAAGGCGACCACCUGGGAUCAUACUGACACUGAGGUGCGAAAGCGUGGGGAGCAAACAGG